CGGGUUUGACAUACAAGUAGUAGUGAAGCGAAAGCGGAACGACCUUCGGAGGCUUGAACAGGUGCUGCAUGGCUGUCGUCAGCUCGUGCCGUGAGGUGUUCGGUUAAGUCCGCAACGAGCGCAACCCUCGGCGUUAGUUACAAGUGUCUAACGCAACUGCCCGUGAGAAACGGGAGGAAGGUGGGGAUGACGUCAAGUCAGCAUGGCCUUUAUAUCCGGGGCUACACACACGCUACAAUGGGCGGUAACCG
Molecule: ribosomal RNA, 251 nt
Filed under: uncultured bacterium
Lineage: Bacteria
Description: partial 16S ribosomal RNA
Rfam family: Bacterial small subunit ribosomal RNA
Source: RNAcentral